GCUUCUGCUCUUUGGCGUAGUGCGCUGGACUGUGGCCCUACACUUACAUUACAGCAAUUGCUGCUGUGAUUUGUGUUUGGCCCAAAUGAGUUUGCCGACCAGUCUUGUAUAGCAAUAUAUUUAUUAUAUUAACACAAGGCAGCGCUGUACUAUGCUAAUCUUAGCUGUGAGUCUUGCGUGGGUCGUCUCUGGUAGGACGGAGCUUGCCUCUGACUCGUAGGAGAAUGACUCAACUAGUGCAGGGCGUGCAGCAUUUGAGGUGAAAGUACGCGUGGUUGCGAAUCUGCAGGACUUUUGUAGCAGUAGUGAGGAACUAGGGUACUCACUGCUGCUGUAAGGAGGACCUUCCUUCCGGAUCUCAGCUUAAGUAAGAAUACCCGCUGAAUUUAAGCAUAUAACUAAGCGGAGGAAAAGAAACUAACCAGGAUUCCCCCAGUAAGGGCGACUGAAGCGGGAAGAGCUCAACUUGUGAAUCUGCGCCUUGGCGCCGAAUUGUGGUUUGUUCGUGCUAUGUGGCUCGGGCAAAGUCCCUUGGAAAAGGGCAGCUGAGAGGGUGAGACUCCCGUCCGCCCGAGCCUCGGAUGCGAGCAUGUUGGAGUCGAGUUGUUUGGGAUUGCAGCUCAAAGCGGGUGGUAAAUUCCAUCUAAAGCUAAAUAUUGGUGGGAGACCGAUAGCGUACAAGUACCGUGAGG
RNAcentral lists this ribosomal RNA (692 nucleotides) under uncultured diatom. RNAcentral describes it as "eukaryotic LSU rRNA". The stretch from base 354 to 692 matches the Rfam family "Eukaryotic large subunit ribosomal RNA", at positions 1 to 358 of the family's 3401-position model. Lineage: Eukaryota; Bacillariophyta. The record is from RNAcentral.